GACGCUAUGGCCGAGUGGUUAAGGCGAUUGACUAGAACGGAUUCCAAUCCACUACAUCAAUUCCGUUCUGCGGGCGUAGGUUCAAGUCCUACUGGCGUCG
Transfer RNA from Exidia glandulosa HHB12029, 100 nucleotides. It matches the Rfam family "tRNA". Rfam says of the family: Transfer RNA (tRNA) molecules are approximately 80 nucleotides in length. Their secondary structure includes four short double-helical elements and three loops (D, anti-codon, and T loops). Further hydrogen bonds mediate the characteristic L-shaped molecular structure. tRNAs have two regions of fundamental functional importance: the anti-codon, which is responsible for specific mRNA codon recognition, and the 3' end, to which the tRNAs corresponding amino acid is attached (by aminoacyl-tRNA synthetases). tRNAs cope with the degeneracy of the genetic code in two manners: having more than one tRNA (with a specific anti-codon) for a particular amino acid; and 'wobble' base-pairing, i.e. permitting non-standard base-pairing at the 3rd anti-codon position. The record is from Rfam. NCBI's taxonomy places the organism in Eukaryota, Fungi, Basidiomycota, Agaricomycetes, Auriculariales, Exidiaceae.